UUUGCGGCGGUCUCUAAUUCGCUUGGUGCAGGUCGGGAACUGACUCGCCGGUGACGCUGUCCGCGCCGGAAUCGGCGCCUUUCAUUGAUAUUUUGUUUAUAUGUAUCGAUAUUUAGAGAGCUCUCAUUAGGACUUAUUUGUUAGUAAAAUUUUGUUGUUGAAAUUAACUUGAUAUAUGUAUAGAUAAGUAGAGUGUUUACCCCUGGUUGGUUAAGUAAUAGAUAUGUAGAGAGUGUUUACCCACGGUUGGUUAAGUAAUGGAUAUGUAGAGAGUUCAAUUUUUUUAAUAGAUUAGUUAUGAAUGAAAGUGCGCCUCGUCGAUGGCUAAGUUUGUUCCCGCCUUGCAUCAACUGAAUUGGUGACCGCGGUGAAU
Nicotiana sylvestris (wood tobacco) is the source of this 373-nucleotide non-coding RNA. The record is from Rfam. Lineage: Eukaryota; Viridiplantae; Streptophyta; Magnoliopsida; Solanales; Solanaceae.